Molecule: long non-coding RNA, 728 nt
Organism: Lingula anatina
Lineage: Eukaryota; Metazoa; Brachiopoda; Lingulata; Lingulida; Lingulidae
Source: RefSeq, a predicted model, not a curated record
CUAUAAUCUCCACAAUACUUACCUGUGUACUGACUUGACCACUGACCACCACAGAGAAGAUAGCCAGUGGAUACCAGUUGACCCCAACGUGAUGCUGCCUUACUACCAUAAGAAGUUUGACCGUAUACCGGCCACAUUUGAUCCCAAAGAUAUGUUGGCAACACAGAAAUUCAGCUCAAGACAGAGUCAGCCAAAGAAGAUGAAAAAGAAGAAAAAAUGAGUCAGAAGUUAUAAACAUAAAGAUCAUUUUGAAAUAUGGAAGACAGAUAUACCUAUUUUGUUACACUAAUUUUACGUCAUGUAGAGGUUAUUAUUACAUUUUCCUGUAAUACGAAAACUAAUAACACAGAAUGCGAUAGAAAGAAUGAUAAAAAGAUGGAUUUUGUUUAGUGCUUCUCGCAUUGGACAGGAGCUUAUGUUGCACGCGUAUUCAUCAUAAUCUGUGGGCAACUGUCACCCUGAGAUAGAGUACAGAGGAAUGUAAAAUAUUAAUAUAAAUUGCAGCAUGAUUUACUUAGCAUUGCUGAUUGUUGCAUGGUUUUGCUCAUUGUUACUGAUGGGUGGAACCCAGUGAUAGCUCAGAAAGCAUGUAGAAGAUUUUUGUUUGGGAUUAAUGAGCCUCCAAAGAAUCGGUCACACAACAGAAGAACACGAUGAUUAGCGUCUUGCGACUUGGGGAAUCUUUAUAAACGCGAAUAAAAUGUGAAGAAAAUGUUAGUUAUCAUUUA